RNAcentral lists this ribosomal RNA (415 nucleotides) under uncultured bacterium. RNAcentral describes it as "bacterial SSU rRNA". It matches the Rfam family "Bacterial small subunit ribosomal RNA", at positions 355 to 787 of the family's 1533-position model. The record is from RNAcentral.
UGGGGAAUAUUGCACAAUGGGGGAAACCCUGAUGCAGCGACGCCGCGUGAAGGAAGAAGUAUCUCGGUAUGUAAACUUCUAUCAGCAGGGAAGAAAAUGACGGUACCUGACUAAGAAGCCCCGGCUAACUACGUGCCAGCAGCCGCGGUAAUACGUAGGGGGCAAGCGUUAUCCGGAUUUACUGGGUGUAAAGGGAGCGUAGACGGAGCAGCAAGUCUGGAGUGAAAGCCCGGGGCUCAACCCCGGGACUGCUUUGGAAACUGUGGAUCUGGAGUGCCGGAGAGGUAAGCGGAAUUCCUAGUGUAGCGGUGAAAUGCGUAGAUAUUAGGAGGAACACCAGUGGCGAAGGCGGCUUACUGGACGGUAACUGACGUUGAGGCUCGAAAGCGUGGGGAGCAAACAGGAUUAGAUACCC